UCUACUAUACAGUUGCUUUGCGAGCGGCAGAGUACAAACGUAUGGAGAUACCUUGAAGCAAUCAACGGGUAGUUAUCAUCGUUACUCUCUGUUGUUUUCAUUAUUAACCUGAAAAAAAAAACAGUAUCUUAUAAAUAUAUAUUGGUAUGGUGUUGUGAAUACACAGGAGAGUGGAUCUAAGCGAAGGGUUAAGGAAACUACAAUGCAGAACUUUAAUAUUCAUCGGUGAAAACUCUGCUUACCACUCAGAAGCCGUUCACAUGACCACAAAGCUAGACAGACGAUACGGCGCACUAGUCGAGGUACAAGGAAGCGGAUCACUGGUGACAGAGGAACAGCCACAGGCGAUGGUAAUACCGAUGGAAUACUUUUUGAUGGGAUACGGUUUGUA
RNAcentral lists this long non-coding RNA (391 nucleotides) under Brassica rapa (field mustard). RNAcentral's name for it is "long non-coding RNA (BRAP_LNC001710)". Lineage: Eukaryota; Viridiplantae; Streptophyta; Magnoliopsida; Brassicales; Brassicaceae. The record is from RNAcentral.